GACGGGGCCCGCACAAGCGGUGGAGUAUGUGGUUAAUUCGAUGCAACGCGAAGAACCUUACCUGGUCUUGACAUCCCGGAGACCCUUAGGAAACUAGGGGGUGCUUCCAUCUGGAAGAAUCUGGAGACAGGUGCUGCAUGGCUGUCGUCAGCUCGUGUCGUGAGAUGUUGGGUUAAGUCCCGCAACGGGCGCAACCCUUGCCUUUAGUUGCCAGCAGUUCGGCUGGGCACUCUAAAGGGACUGCCGGUGUUAAACCGGAGGAAGGUGGGGAUGACGUCAAGUCCUCAUGGCCUUUAUGACCAGGGCUACACACGUACUACAAUGGCCGAUACAAAGGGCAGCGACACUGCGAGGUGAAGCCAAUCCCGUAAAAUCGGUCUCAGUCCGGAUUGGAGUCUGCAACUCGACUCCAUGAAGUUGGAAUCGCUAGUAAUCGUGGAUCAGCAUGCCACGGUGAAUACGUUCCCGGGCCUU
Molecule: ribosomal RNA, 474 nt
Filed under: uncultured Desulfobulbus sp.
Lineage: Bacteria; Pseudomonadati; Thermodesulfobacteriota; Desulfobulbia; Desulfobulbales; Desulfobulbaceae
Description: bacterial SSU rRNA
Rfam family: Bacterial small subunit ribosomal RNA
Source: RNAcentral